CCUACGGGAGGCUGCAGUGGGGAAUAUUGGGCAAUGGGCGCAAGCCUGACCCAGCAACGCCGCGUGAAGGAAGAAGGCUUUCGGGUUGUAAACUUCUUUUAAGAGGGAAGAGCAGAAGACGGUACCUCUUGAAUAAGCCACGGCUAACUACGUGCCAGCAGCCGCGGUAAUACGUAGGUGGCAAGCGUUGUCCGGAUUUACUGGGUGUAAAGGGCGUGCAGCCGGGAAGACAAGUCAGAUGUGAAAGCCCGCGGCUUAACCGCGGAACUGCAUUUGAAACUGUUUUUCUUGAGUACCGGAGAGGUCAGCGGAAUUCCUUGUGUAGCGGUGAAAUGCGUAGAUAUAAGGAAGAACACCAGUGGCGAAGGCGGAUGACUGGACGGCAACUGACGGUGAGGCGCGAAAGCGUGGGGAGCAAACAGGAUUAGAUACCCGAGUAGUC
This 442-nucleotide ribosomal RNA is filed under the name uncultured bacterium. RNAcentral describes it as "partial 16S ribosomal RNA". It matches the Rfam family "Bacterial small subunit ribosomal RNA", at positions 338 to 795 of the family's 1533-position model. The record is from RNAcentral.